This 425-nucleotide ribosomal RNA is filed under the name uncultured bacterium. RNAcentral describes it as "partial 16S ribosomal RNA". It matches the Rfam family "Bacterial small subunit ribosomal RNA", at positions 354 to 796 of the family's 1533-position model. The record is from RNAcentral.
GUGAGGAAUCUUCCACAAUGGGCGAAAGCCUGAUGGAGCAACGACGCGUGCAGGAUGAAGGCCUUCGGGUCGUAAACUGCUUUUAUAAGUGAAGAAUAUGACGGUAACUUAUGAAUAAGCACCGGCUAACUACGUGCCAGCAGCCGCGGUCAUACGUAGGGUGCAAGCAUUAUCCGGAGUGACUGGGCGUAAAGAGUUGCGUAGGUGGUUUGUUAAGUAGGUAGUGAAAUCUGGCGGCUCAACCGUACAGGCUAUUACCUAAACUGGCAAACUCGAGAAUGGUAGAGGUAACUGGAAUUUCUUGUGUAGGAGUGAAAUCCGUAGAUAUAAGAAGGAACACCAAUGGCGUAGGCAGGUUACUGGACCAUUUCUGACACUGAGGCACGAAAGCGUGGGGAGCGAACGGGAUUAGAUACCCGUAGUCC